This 373-nucleotide long non-coding RNA is filed under the name Medicago truncatula (barrel medic). RNAcentral describes it as "lncRNA gene23346". The record is from RNAcentral. Lineage: Eukaryota; Viridiplantae; Streptophyta; Magnoliopsida; Fabales; Fabaceae.
UGGUAGUGUAAAAGUCAAUACCCUCAAACAAUGAAUCAAUUUCAAUGGUGGUUUGAGCAGUAGAGGAAAGGGUCCUCUUAGCUCUCUCGCAAGCAGUUCUCAAUCUUCUAAGAGCCCUUGGAUUUCCACUAAUAUCCUUCUUAUUCUUCCUCUUGAAUUCUUGAACAAAAUGGUUCACCAUCCUGUUAUCAAAAUCUUCACCUCCCAAAUGUGUAUCACCAGCUGUAGCUUUGACCUCAAAGAUACCUUCCUCAAUAGUAAGUAGGGAAACAUCAAAAGUUCCACCACCAAGAUCGAAAAUAAGAACGUUCUUCUCACCCGUGCUUGUAGCUUUCUUAUCAAGACCAUAAGCAAUAGCAGCAGCGGUAGGUUC